CAGUAUUGCUAAUGCUAAAAAAACAGGAGUGGAUACAAAACACAGAAUAUUUGCAUGUCUUCUGUGUUUUUUACCCACUCCUGCUUUU
Small nucleolar RNA from Bufo bufo (common toad), 88 nucleotides. RefSeq annotates it as small nucleolar RNA SNORA14. NCBI's taxonomy places the organism in Eukaryota, Metazoa, Chordata, Amphibia, Anura, Bufonidae. The record is from RefSeq and is a predicted model, not a curated record. The transcript has a single exon.